CCCAAUAGAUAGGCCGGGGAUGUAAGGGACAGUCCUAUCCUGGACUGGCAAGAGAGCUCGAAAUCACAAAUCCCUCUGCCAUGUCUACUGAUUAUGACACAAUGCUGUGUCAUUGAUUAUGAAAGGUAUGCCCCUUACAUCAUCCAGUCACCUCAGUCCCAUGUUCUCAGGGAAUGGCCUUCAUCCUGGUAAUAGCAGUACUGUCCAGUGGGAGCCGAUUGGAAUGGUCGGAGAAGGAGCUGGACUGCAAGGGAUCAGGAGGAGCAGGGGGAAUGGCACUGGGGGGAGGGGGAUCCUCCCCACACACCCCUCAGUCCCAGCAGCCUUGGUGACCGCUGUCAGCUUGGCACAUCCACCAGCUCAUUGGUUCGAAGACAGUAGAGCAGCCGGAACGAAGAAAGAAAUGAGCCCUUCCUAUGUGUGACCCCAAGGUAGCAAGAAAGUGAUUGACAGCACCCCUGUGACCAGAUCAUAGAAUGUCAGGAUGGCAAGUGACCUUCAAGAUUUUAAUUGCUUCGUUUUCCAAAAGAUGGAGUAGCACUCGGAAAGGAAGUGUCUUAGUCACAUGAGACAUAAAGAGCAGAACUAGGGAUUGUACCUGGGUCCUUUGGCAAUGCACACAUUGCUCUCUGCCUCGCCCCCUCCCCCAUUUAUUCUGCUAACACCUUUGUCACUGGUUAGGGUCAAGAGCCAGGUGCUUUAAUCAUAUGCUGGGGGCAGGAAGUAGCAGAAAGGAAGCAGGAAAAAUCGAAGAAGAGAUUCAAUGAAAGAAGAGUUCGAUUUCCUCCCACAUCUCUCAUGCUAGAAUCCUGAUCAAUCUUCCUGGGGCUCUUUGGAAACUGGGCAACAAUUCCCCUCAAACCUGUGCCCUGAGUGAGGGGGCAGGGAUGGUGGAUAGGGAGCACACCUUUUAUUGGGGGAGGGGAAAGAUUGAUAUCUACCAAAAAUCCUGCAAUUUGACUUGCUUGGGAACAUCCUCACCUUGGCUACUCACGCCCUGGCCUCC
Non-coding RNA from Phascolarctos cinereus (koala), 1006 nucleotides. Lineage: Eukaryota; Metazoa; Chordata; Mammalia; Diprotodontia; Phascolarctidae. The record is from RefSeq and is a predicted model, not a curated record.